RNAcentral lists this ribosomal RNA (497 nucleotides) under uncultured bacterium. RNAcentral describes it as "partial 16S ribosomal RNA". It matches the Rfam family "Bacterial small subunit ribosomal RNA", at positions 28 to 507 of the family's 1533-position model. The record is from RNAcentral.
GAUGAACGCUGGCGGCGUGCCUAAUACAUGCAAGUCGAGCGAACAGACGGGGAGCUUGCUCCUCUGACGUUAGCGGCGGACGGGUGAGUAACACGUGGAUAACCUACCUAUAAGACUGGGAUAACUUCGGGAAACCGGAGCUAAUACCGGAUAACAUGUUGAACCGCAUGGUUUAACAGUGAAAGACGGUCUUGCUGUCACUUAUAGAUGGAUCCGCGCCGCAUUAGCUAGUUAGUAAGGUAACGGCUUACCAAGGCAACGAUGCGUAGCCGACCUGAGAGGGUGAUCGGCCACACUGGAACUGAGACACGGUCCAGACUCCUACGGGAGGCAGCAGUAGGGAAUCUUCCGCAAUGGGCGAAAGCCUGACGGAGCAACGCCGCGUGAGUGAAGAAGGUCUUCGGAUCGUAAAACUCUGUUAUUAGGGAAGAACAAAUGUGUAAGUAACUAUGCACGUCUUGACGGUACCUAAUCAGAAAGCCACGGCUAACUACGUG